This 497-nucleotide ribosomal RNA is filed under the name uncultured bacterium. RNAcentral describes it as "partial 16S ribosomal RNA". The stretch from base 20 to 337 matches the Rfam family "Bacterial small subunit ribosomal RNA", at positions 47 to 358 of the family's 1533-position model. The record is from RNAcentral.
GAUGAACGCUGGCGGCGUGCCUAAUACAUGCAAGUCGAGCGAACAGACGAGGAGCUUGCUCCUCUGACGUUAGCGGCGGACGGGUGAGUAACACGUGGAUAACCUACCUAUAAGACUGGGAUAACUUCGGGAAACCGGAGCUAAUACCGGAUAAUAUAUUGAACCGCAUUGUUCAAUAGUGAAAGACGGUUUUGCUGUCACUUAUAGAUGGAUCCGCGCCGCAUUAGCUAGUUGGUAAGGUAACGGCUUACCAAGGCAACGAUGCGUAGCCGACCUGAGAGGGUGGGAGGAAACAGUGGAAAAGAGACAGGGGCGAGAGGACGACGGAAGGAGCAAGGAGGGGAGGGUAAGAAAUGGGUGGAAUAAUGAAGUAGGAAUGACGCGGGAGGAAUGAAGGGAAAAGGACCGGAAAACGGUGUGACGAGGGAAAAAAAAAAGGGCAAGGAAAGAGGCAGGUCGGGACGGGAGCUAAUAAGAAAGACACGGCUAACGAGGUG